RNAcentral lists this long non-coding RNA (5373 nucleotides) under Sus scrofa (pig). Its description in RNAcentral is "lncRNA (ENSSSCG00000062854.1)". The record is from RNAcentral. Lineage: Eukaryota; Metazoa; Chordata; Mammalia; Artiodactyla; Suidae.
CACAGCCCUAUUCUAGGACCAAUCACCAAGGCCAAGGGAAUGCCCUAAACUCAUUGGUGUAGGCCUGUCCCACAUGCCUACUCCUGAGCUAAUCAGUGUCAAGAGACAGGACUCAGGGCAGAGCUAAACCUGGGCCUGAAGAUCUACCAGCAAAGCAUGUGCCUGUCCACAGUGAGAAGAUGAGAGCCAAAAAGAAGAAAAGGAAGAAAAUGACACAAGUGCCAACAGGAUCUGCUGACAAUGUCUAUCCUAAAAGCAAAGUGUGAAAAAAAGAAAAGAAGCAAUUCUCAACCAAGAAUCCAGGGUAAAGGGGUCAUUAUUUUUAUACUUGGUCAACCACAAGGAAAAGGAAUGACUGUUCAUGUUCUUUCCUGUUGAAAUAGUCUCUGAACAGGUAAGCCACUUGCCCAAAGUCUCAGAUCUGAAAUGAGGAGAAUAGAAAUUUCACUCUAGAUGAAGGUUGUGUCUCGUGACCACACUUUUCCUGUUGCAUUUGUAAUUUAUUGGGAAGGUUACUACAUUUCUGAGAACCUAUGGGAAGAUAAAAUAAAUUACAAAACACCCUCCCUCCAAAAGAUGUUCUUAUGUUCUACAUAGAGCUGGCUGGGUUAUAUGAUUCUUUCUUUUUUUCCUUUUUUUUUUUUUUUUUUGUCUUUUCUAGGGCUGCACCUGGGACAUAUGGAGGUUCCCAGGCUAGGCGUCUAAUCGGAGCUACAGCUGCCAGCCUACACCGCAAUACCAGAUCCAGGCCGCAUCUGCGACCUAUACCACCGUUCAAGGCAACACCGGAUCCUUAACCCACUGAGCGAGGCCAGGGAUGGAACCUACAACUAGGAUGGUUCCUAGUUGGAUCCGUUAACCACUGAGCCACGAUGGGAACUCCAGGUUAGAUGAUUCUUAAAGCCUCUUUCAUAAUAAUUAAGACUUAUUCUAGUGUGGGUGUAGGAAAGGUCAAAAACAGGCCCAGGCUAAUAUGCUCAGAGAACAGAGGGUGCCAGGACCCUGAGCAGACAGAUGGAGGGGCAGGGGAGAGAAAGAAGCGGGAGGGUGGACAUUUGGCCCUCAGACAAAUCACAUGCUCAAAACUAUGCAGAUAAAGUACUGAUGUUAAUGAACACUAGACAUCUCAGCCACAUUGACAUUUUUUACAGAUCUGAUGUCAAUUCCUUAAUUUAAUAUUGAGGUCUUUUAAAUUAUUAUUGAUGGCUCCUUGAGAUACUAAUUGAAUUGGAAUCACUUAUCUCACUCUUCACCACUCUAAGUGUAUUAUAUUCCUUUCUAAGUGAACCCUGGGUGUCUUUCACUGAUUUUUACUUUCAUAGAUAAAUUCCGCCAAGAAUAAUAUUAUCUGAGGACUAGUGUAAGACCUUGACCGUCAAGAAAGAUCACUGCUGAAAAGUGAUUUUUAAUUACUUCUUACUGAGGAAGAUUCAGCUCCAGUCACAAAGGUGAUAUCACAAUGUCAGCCAAUUAAAUGAAACCAUUUAUAUUUAAUUGCCUCCACAGCAUGGUCACAUCCUUGGGAAAGUGGAUGUCCUAUUGUUUGGGUUAAAGUGAUCUUUGCAACUUUCUCCUGAUUACUUUUUAACAGUGGGAGCUUGAUGUUGAUCUUCUUUCUUACUGGCAAUCUAUUUUUAUGGUUAUAUGGAGUAUGUUCAAUUAACUAGCACCUAUCUUUAGAUAACAAAAUGCAUCCAAACUUGUAAAUAUAUAGUGACUAUUAAACAUGAUGAGGAGAUGGUUGAUAGAAAUCCAAUCAAUAAAUGAGAGUACAAUAAAAACUACACUCAGAAGUUCUGUCUGGCUCAGCGGAAACCAAUCUGACUAGCAUCCAUGAAGAUGCAGAUUCAAUUCUUGGCCUUGCCCAGUGGAUUAAGGACCUGGCAUUGCCAUGAACUGUGGUGUAGGUCGCAGAUGCAGCUUAGAUCUGGUGGUGCUGUGGCUGUGGUAUAGGCUGGCAGCUACAUCUCCAAUUUGACUCCUAGCCUGGAAAGAUCACUGCUGAAAAGUGAUUUUUAAUUACUUCUUACUGAGGAAGAUUCAGCUCCAGUCACAAAGGUGAUAUCACAAUGUCAGCCAAUUAAAUGAAACCAUUUAUAUUUUCUUCCAUAUGCUCUAGACAUAGCCCUAAAAAGACCAAAAAAGAAAAAAGAAAAACAAACAAACAAACAAAAAACAAAAAACAAAACUACACUCAGAUUUGUUUGGACAGUAUAAGGAGGGUAAAUAAUAUAAAAUGAUCAGGUAAUUAUCACAGUAUUAUGUGUCAGCAAACAUUUGAAAUCAGAUAGGUCUAAUAACAAAAGCAAUUCAUGUAAAGUUAGCACCUGUACCUCAGGGACAGUUUUAUUGUCAAAGACUAUGUUACAUGAAAAAGAAUGGUGAAAUAGUAUUAAGUUAAAGACAAGGAUGCAUGGUUGUCUUAUAAUUAAGAUAAUACAACUGGGGGGAAGAGUUUACAUGGACCCCCCCCCCAAAAAAAAAACCUGAAAAAAUAUAGACCAAUUGUUCCCUCGGGGUAAUGGCCUGCAGGUGAUUUUAAUUUUGAAUCAUUUCCACUUUUUCAGGUGGUUAUUCUGUAGCUGUAGCAGCAUCAGUGUCAGGGAAUGAUAGAUGGUCCAAGGCAGUCGUUCAAAGAGUAACCCUGAACAGGUAGUGUUACCAUCACCCUGGAACUUGUCUGAAACGCACAUCUUUAGACCCUACAGCACACCAACUGAUGUGGCCCAGGACUUUUUCAGAAGCUUCCCAGCGGAUUCUGAUGCAGGUAACACUGAGGCCAUGUGUAACUCGUCCACAAAUGUGGACAAGGGUUCUGGGCAUCCACUGGCCUUCUCUCUCCGUGUCCUCUAUUGUCCCCAAGAAGGCUACGCUAGGUUUCUGGCCACUGGGGUUUCACAGUUCCCAAAAAAACAGAGCAGAAAAGUAUCACAUCGACUUGGAACUCUCCCAGAAUCAUCUCUCAAGUCAUGUUGCCAUCCAAAUUCAAGGGGAUGUGGAAGAGACUCUCUGGAUGGGAAGAGGUACAAAGUCACAUGCAAAGGGCCUGUCUUAGCCGUCUGUGCUUCUACAACAAACUGAUCACAGAGUGGGCAGCUUAUGAACAACAGAAACUCAUUUCUCCCAGUUCUGGACACUGGAAGUCCAAGGUGAAGGGACCAGCAGAUUUGGUGUCUGCCCCCCAGAUCCGGAUUAUCCCCUGGCUGUGUCCUCACAGGGCAGAAAUAUGGAGCCAGAUCUAUAGAGUCUGAUUUUUAAACAUAGCACUGAUCCCACUCAAGAGGGUUCCACCUCUAUUGCCAUCACAAUGGGGGUUAGGAUUCAGCAAACACAUUUGUGAAACAUAAACCUUCAGUAGACAGAAGAAUAUGGAUCCAUUAUGGGGAGAAAAGCUUAUCAUUUUUUUUUCCCUAUCUCCCACACCAAAUGUGCACUGUUGAUGAGGUUAUUAGUAAAUGCCAGUCCAAGGAUUCAUGAUGUUAACCAACUUCAUGGUUUUGAAUUCGAAAUAAAUACAGUGUGAAUUUUUCAACAAUCCUCCUUUGCUCAGUUUUCUUCCUCUCUUAUUUACCACUAUUUUUACCUUGAAACUUUUCUUGCCUUCUGGUUAUUUUUCUUGUCCUUACAUUGUCACCAUCUUUACCUCCUCACUCACUGCCCCUUCACUCUCAUGUCUCCAUCACUGGUCCCACUCCUGCUAAUCUCCCCUCUGUUCCAGUAAGAGCCACAUAGAAGGAGGAGGCAGAACAGGGAAAUAAGGUCUAGUCAUGGUCAUGCAUCUGCCUGCAACAAACCUGUGUGAGGCUUAAGAUCUCAGUGGUUAUCAGAAAACCCACCUUAGUAAAACGUCCCCAUGGCACUCAUCAUUUCAGGUUUCUUCCUCCUCUAAAACAGUUGUAUAUCUUUACUAAGGGACUUCAAAAACCCAGCCAACUGAAACAACGACAGUAAGGAGAUCCCCAAGCACGUUUUACUUGCUUAUUAACCUGUGAUCUCAUGCAAUGGUGUGUUUAUUUCUAAGUUUUCAAGCUGUCAAAUUUGACAUAUGAUAUUUCUAAUCAGGGAAUGAUGCUGUGAUAAUGGUUUUCCAUAGCCAAUGUGAUGAAGUAGAAAAAAAGAGAAAAGGAUAACUGAAAAAUAACAUAUGAAAAUAACUAGAGCAUUGGCACAGUACUAAGUAGAACAGUAGAUACAUGAAAAUUCCAAUACAUGAUUGGCCAGCUAGUCCAAAGGGCUGGGAGACAGAGCCAUUCUUUGGUUUGUCUGCUUGUAGAACAAAUGAGACUGCUUCAAACAUAAAAUAGACUUCUGUGAAUCAUGCCUGAUUGGAGUUUCCUACUCAUCAUAAAUCAGUAACAAUAAUAAUAACCUUACACCAAAAAUGUACAUGAAUCUACACAUAGUUUAUUAUCAUUGUGAGUGUUUAAAAUGUAAUGCCUAAAGUUAAUUGCUAGUUAUAUCAUACUGACGCUAUAGAUAUUUGAGUUAAGGAAAGCUAUAUAUUAUUUGAGUUAAACUGACUCAAUUCAGGCAUGUUCCUUUCUAAUACAACCCCCCCCAAAUAAUGCUGAACAAAAAACAAAAUAAACAAAAACACAUCUUUUACUGAAGUGAUAAAUAUUAAUGAUUUCAUUGACUAGUUGACUAUUUAGCAAAUGCAUUUUUUUUAGUAUUCAUUGAUACAAAUUAAAUCAUCACUUUUAAUUUAUCUCAACUGAUUAUAGUAUAAUUUCAUAGAAAUAACCACAAAAUCAGGACAAGUAUUUUAUUGGGACAUUCUGUGUUUGUGUGUGUGUGUGUGCGUGCGUGCAAUGUUUAUAAGUAUACACAAACUCAUGUAGAAUUAAAUGUAUAACACACACACAUAUUAUAUGUAGAUAUUUUAACCCAAUUAAAUUAUUUUUCAAUUCUAAAGCUCAAUACACCAAGAAAAAUGAAUAUGGAACUAAAACAACAACAUAGAAAAAAUAAAAAUAUCAAAUGCCUGAUAUUAACUAGGUCCUGCAUUUCAACCUUAGCUUACUUUUAAACUGACUAAGAGCUAAGGAAAAAAAGUAAAACAUAACAUAUCACUGUUUCCUUGUCUGUUAAGGAAAGCUAUAAAGCAGUAUGCUUGAACUGGGUUUCAGUAAAUUUGUUCUUGGAAUCCCCAAAGCACUUAACAUAUGCCUGGUCCAAAGUGCAUAAUCUUUAUAUGCUUUUUGAAAAAAAAAAAGUCAAUAGCCCUUAGUUCACUUGUAUAAUGGGCUAAAAAGUGCGUCAGAGGAAGGCUUUAAUAAUUAAAUGAGAUAAUAUGACUCCAUUAGCUUAAUAUCUAGUAGUGUACCAUAUGCUCAAAGAAUGCUUUCCUUUUUUAUACUCAACGAUAUGUGU